AGCCAGAGUGGUGUAGUGGUUAGAAUGCUGCCCUAGGACCAGGGACAGACCAGGGUUCAAAUCCCUCACUCGGCCA
Molecule: non-coding RNA, 76 nt
Organism: Podarcis lilfordi (Lilford's wall lizard)
Lineage: Eukaryota; Metazoa; Chordata; Lepidosauria; Squamata; Lacertidae
Source: the annotation of a GenBank genome assembly